Molecule: long non-coding RNA, 333 nt
Organism: Helicoverpa zea (corn earworm)
Lineage: Eukaryota; Metazoa; Arthropoda; Insecta; Lepidoptera; Noctuidae
Exons: 2
Source: RefSeq, a predicted model, not a curated record
CUGACGAGACGAAUUGCUACCGGUCCAUCGUAAAGCCACCAAUCUAACUAGAGCCCUCCCCUAGCCCACGACUUUGAAGGCUUUUCAAUAAACGCCGGCGAGGAAGCCAGCCUCAUUGAGUUUGAGAGAUCCCAUUUGACUGGACACUGCCAUGCAUACACGCAUACGGUUAUUUAUCCAGGUUUCGCUGCUGGCUACAGUAGGCGAAUAGCUGCUGCUAUCACUUUCACUGUCCAGAUCUCUUGGGAUAAAUUCUUGCUUAAUGAUAUUGUCUUGUAGAAACUUCCUUAUGUAAGGAACCAGCUGAAAUAAAUAACUGUUUGAAAUAUAAAA